This 446-nucleotide ribosomal RNA is filed under the name Citrobacter sp. AAK_AS5. RNAcentral describes it as "bacterial SSU rRNA". It matches the Rfam family "Bacterial small subunit ribosomal RNA", at positions 338 to 796 of the family's 1533-position model. Lineage: Bacteria; Pseudomonadati; Pseudomonadota; Gammaproteobacteria; Enterobacterales; Enterobacteriaceae. The record is from RNAcentral.
CCUACGGGAGGCAGCAGUGGGGAAUAUUGCACAAUGGGCGAAAGCCUGAUGCAGCAACGCCGCGUGAGGGAUGACGGCCUUCGGGUUGUAAACCUCUUUUAGUAGGGAAGAAGCGAAAGUGACGGUACCUGCAGAAAAAGCACCGGCUAACUACGUGCCAGCAGCCGCGGUAAUACGUAGGGUGCAAGCGUUGUCCGGAAUUAUUGGGCGUAAAGAGCUCGUAGGCGGUUUGUCGCGUCUGCUGUGAAAUCCCGAGGCUCAACCUCGGGCUUGCAGUGGGUACGGGCAGACUAGAGUGCGGUAGGGGAGAUUGGAAUUCCUGGUGUAGCGGUGGAAUGCGCAGAUAUCAGGAGGAACACCGAUGGCGAAGGCAGAUCUCUGGGCCGUAACUGACGCUGAGGAGCGAAAGCGUGGGGAGCGAACAGGAUUAGAUACCCUAGUAGUCC